AACGCAUAUUGCACUCUCUGGUAUUCCGGAGAGUAUGCCUGUUUCAGUAUCAGUAAACACCAUCAAACAAAAUCCUUAGUUUUUUUUGUUUGGAUUUGAGCGUUGCCGAGAAAACCAAAACAGGUUCGGCCUGCUCGAAAUGCAAGUACACAGGAGGAACAAAAAGGAAUUAAUUUUCCAACCACAACAAAGGUGGGUGUGAAAUUUAGAAAGCGUCGUAGUUGACUUUUUUGUCUUCUUUCGCUGAAAAAUGAAACACCAAAAAAAAACCUUUGGGGGUGGAUUCCGCUGUGCAAAUUCGCAGGAAGAAAUUUCACUUCUUGAUCUGAAAUCAGGUAGGACUACCCGCUGAACUUAA
This 358-nucleotide unclassified non-coding RNA is filed under the name uncultured fungus. Its description in RNAcentral is "sequence contains ITS2". Lineage: Eukaryota; Fungi. The record is from RNAcentral.